GUGUGUUUUGAGCCCAGGGAUUAAAGGAGUUUAGUAGGUUUUCAAACCUGGAAGUGGACUUAGACCUUUCACCCUUUCUCAGCACCUUGGCCACACCAGUCAAAAGGAAGACUGGGACAUACAGGUUUACCUCAGAGCCUCAUGCCCGUGCUUUAAUGGCUCAAUGUCGAAGAGGAGGAGAAAGUGGACUGAAGAUAAACUGUAGCCUCUCCUGUGUUGAGCACGGACAGACGGCCCUGGGGGAGCGCAGGAAGAGACUCCUGGAAAGGCUUGACUGGAAAAUUGAUUCCCAUCAGCAAGCAUCCCUUCACCACCCAGGUUUCUCAACUGCACCUAAAUUGCAAGCGAUUCAAAGCGAGUACAAAGGGGCCGUUGCUGCUGCCAAAUUGGCUUAUCCUUGGGAAAUAUGCAGAGAAGUGUUGGAGAGUUUUAGAACAUCCGUACUGAGUGAUCAGUUCGUAAACUUUCAAGUAGCCAUCAUUUGUUACAUUUAGACAUUAACUUUCAAGCGCCAUUUUUCAUCCGGAAUCAAAGAGGAUCACAACGUACUCCACUGUGGGCAGCUAGAGUCAUGAAGACAGUGAGCCAUAUUGGAUUUGGG
This 601-nucleotide small RNA is filed under the name Rattus norvegicus (Norway rat). RNAcentral describes it as "uncharacterized LOC102552793". Lineage: Eukaryota; Metazoa; Chordata; Mammalia; Rodentia; Muridae. The record is from RNAcentral.